Oncorhynchus keta (chum salmon) is the source of this 440-nucleotide long non-coding RNA. RefSeq lists it as uncharacterized. The transcript has 5 exons. NCBI's taxonomy places the organism in Eukaryota, Metazoa, Chordata, Actinopteri, Salmoniformes, Salmonidae. The record is from RefSeq and is a predicted model, not a curated record.
CUACUACACCCACUAAGCGGAGAAAAGGUAUCCCAACGUCUGUCCAAGAAUGUUGAAAUGUUGAAUGUUUUGAAGAAACGUGUUGUUCAGUACAAACCGUCACACUACCUAGCUACUGUUUAAUCAAACUGAAUGCACCCCAGAGACACCUGACACAGCCCCCAUUCUAUCUCAUAGAAGUGGGUCUGUGUCUAUUGUCUCUGUGGUUCCAGCCAAUCAGCUAUAAGGACAGGUAUAAAACCUCUGUUGGGUCUUUUAACAAAGAGAUAGAGGACUCGUGUGAUGACUUCCACCCACCAUGGAGCUCUCCCUGUGUUCUCUGUCAGUUCUGACGCUAGUGGCUGUUGUGUUCAUGGUACCAAUGAAAGACAGAAGUGAUGAUGUGUUAAGCUUUUUGAAUGGUGCCCUUGAUGUUGCUCCCGCUACUCAAAGCACCUCAG